Plodia interpunctella (Indianmeal moth) is the source of this 477-nucleotide long non-coding RNA. RefSeq lists it as uncharacterized. The transcript is spliced from 3 exons. The record is from RefSeq and is a predicted model, not a curated record. Lineage: Eukaryota; Metazoa; Arthropoda; Insecta; Lepidoptera; Pyralidae.
UGUCUGAGAUUUCAGUAACAUUACAAUCCAACUUUGGAACAAUACGAAUAUUCGCCUCAUACUGAACAGAAAGAUGUAACUUCGCAACUCGGCAGGAUAACUGGCGACUCAAACAAGGGCCUGGGGCUUAUCAGUCACCGGCGCAAUUUCAUAUCGACAGCAACCAAUAAGUACCUACUUCAACUUUAUCUUAUCUACCUGCGAUAUUUGACCAUUCCUGAAGGGAAAGGGAGUAAAGAUGUUGGGACCUUUGGCCAGGAUUUCGAACCAUGCGGGUCGUGAUGUUAUGAAGAGAUUCGUCAGGAAUGGAUCCCAUGGAGGUAUCCCUGGAGAGAACCUUCCAUUCAACAUCCACCACCGCAAAAGGUUGACAUUCAACCUGUUCUGGUUCGUGGGCACCGGGUUAGCCGCACCCUUCCUCAUCGUGUUGCACCAACUGAAGAAGAGCGGCUGAAUGCAGAAUUUAUCAUAAAUGUA